GAUGAACGCUGGCGGCGUGCCUAAUACAUGCAAGUCGAGCGAACGGACGAGAAGCUUGCUUCUCUGAUGUUAGCGGCGGACGGGUGAGUAACACGUGGAUAACCUACCUAUAAGACUGGGGUAACUUCGGGAAACCGGAGCUAAUACCGGAUAAUAUUUUGAACCGCAUGGUUCAACAGUGAAAGACGGUCUUGCUGUCACUUAUAGAUGGAUCCGCGCUGCAUUAGCUAGUUGGUAAGGUAACGGCUUACCAAGGCAACGAUGCAUAGCCGACCUGAGAGGAUGAUCGGCCACACUGGAACUGAGACACGGUCCAGACUCCUACGGGAGGCAGCAGUAGGGAAUCUUCCGCAAUGGGCGAAAGCCUGACGGAGCAACGCCGCGUGAGUGAUGAAGGUCUUCGGAUCGUAAAACACUGUUAUUAGGGAAGAACAUAUGUGUAAGUAACUGUGCACAUCUUGACGGUACCUAAUCAGAAAGCCACGGCUAACUACGUG
This 497-nucleotide ribosomal RNA is filed under the name uncultured bacterium. Its description in RNAcentral is "partial 16S ribosomal RNA". It matches the Rfam family "Bacterial small subunit ribosomal RNA", at positions 28 to 507 of the family's 1533-position model. The record is from RNAcentral.